RNAcentral lists this ribosomal RNA (516 nucleotides) under uncultured bacterium. RNAcentral's name for it is "partial 16S ribosomal RNA". It matches the Rfam family "Bacterial small subunit ribosomal RNA", at positions 28 to 523 of the family's 1533-position model. The record is from RNAcentral.
GACGAACGCUGGCGGCGUGCUUAACACAUGCAAGUCGAGCGGACUUUCAUUGGUGCUUGCACCUUUGAAAGUUAGCGGCGGACGGGUGAGUAACACGUGGGUAACCUACCCUGUAGAUUGGGAUAACUCCGGGAAACCGGGGCUGAUACCGAAUAACACUUUUGAACUCAUGUUCGAAAGUUAAAAGAUGGUUUCGGCUAUCACUACAGGAUGGGCCCGCGGCGCAUUAGCUAGUUGGUGAGGUAACGGCUCACCAAGGCAACGAUGCGUAGCCGACCUGAGAGGGUGAUCGGCCACACUGGGACUGAGACACGGCCCAGACUCCUACGGGAGGCAGCAGUAGGGAAUCUUCCACAAUGGACGAAAGUCUGAUGGAGCAACGCCGCGUGAGUGAAGAAGGAUUUCGGUUCGUAAAACUCUGUUGCAAGGGAAGAACAAGUAGCGUAGUAACUGGCGCUACCUUGACGGUACCUUGUUAGAAAGCCACGGCUAACUACGUGCCAGCAGCCGCUGUAA